This 229-nucleotide ribosomal RNA is filed under the name Shewanella sp. HR11-36. RNAcentral's name for it is "partial 16S ribosomal RNA". It matches the Rfam family "Bacterial small subunit ribosomal RNA", at positions 1164 to 1392 of the family's 1533-position model. The record is from RNAcentral. Lineage: Bacteria; Pseudomonadati; Pseudomonadota; Gammaproteobacteria; Alteromonadales; Shewanellaceae.
CGGAGGAAGGUGGGGACGACGUCAAGUCAUCAUGGCCCUUACGAGUAGGGCUACACACGUGCUACAAUGGUCGGUACAGAGGGUUGCGAAGCCGCGAGGUGGAGCUAAUCUCACAAAGCCGGUCGUAGUCCGGAUNGGAGUCUGCAACUCGACUCCAUGAAGUCGGAAUCGCUAGUAAUCGUAGAUCAGAAUGCUACGGUGAAUACGUUCCCGGGCCUUGUACACACCG